GAUACAACUUGCCUUUUUGGUGCGACUUCAAGUACUUCUCCAGGUUGGACUUCAGGUUCGUCAUAACCUCGCUUUUCUAUCGUAACAAUACAUAAAAAAGACAAGAAAUAAAUAAAAAUCGUAUUACACCAAACAAGGAAACAAACUGAGUAAUACUAUUCCACACGCUCCUACGAGAUCGUAGGUUCGAGAACCACUAAAAUUGGAGUUAAACGUGAUAGUUAUGAAUUAUGUAAGUUUUCUUAUUAAUUUUAUGUCAAAAAUCAUUUUCUAGAUUAUUUUUAUAAUUAUCCAAGGAUUCUACGCUACGGAUAUGAUUUCUAGAAAGCACAGGGACUUAUGUGCUAAAAACAGGACCUACAUGUACUCAUCUUUGAGCUAUGUGGGACGGUGCGCUUAUUUUUAAAAUGUCUAGGAUCACUCUAAUAAAAUGUCCUCGGCUGAAGGGGUACCAAUCCAUCACAGUCGUCCAAUCAGAACCAACGGUCCUGAUUAUAUCUCCUUAACAUCGAAUCGGUACGCAGCGCCAGCCACACGAUCUUCGGCCCUUAAUCAACACGGUGAAGCGUUAUGCCCUUGCAUAAUCCAAGCCGUUCAUCUAGCAUCCUAUGGCUAGCUCUCCUCUUCCACUUUCGAUACCACACCACGGCGCAGGACACUGGGCUCCUCUCGAGGGGUCGCCGGCGGGAUGCAAUCUUGGCGCUCACGUGCCCCUCCCACCACUCUGAUAGAUCCUAUACGACACACAGAGCUAAGACUAGCUCCAACAAGGAGCUCUAAAGGGUCAUGUACCCUAAAUUUAGAGGACGAGGACGUCCUCUACUCCUUCCAGCAACGUUUUCUAAAUAGUCCUCUAAAUUUAGAGAACGCUGCUAGAUCCUCUAUACGUAGAGUUUCUCUAAACGGUUCUCUAUCUAUUUGAAUACUUUAAACAACUGGUUUAAUAAAACUAAAAUAUGUACAAUACAUUUGAGAGUAUGACAAAUACGUAUAUAAAAAUUAAAAAAUUAAAAAUAUCUUUAAUAUAAGUAUUUACAUAUAGAGGACGUGAUUUAGAGGACGUUGUUGGAGAGAAAGUAGAUAUAAGAUAAAAUCUUUUAGAGAACUGUAAAUAACGGAUAUAGAGGAUAUAUAUAGAAGACGUUGCUGGAGACCGUCUAAGCGAGUCAUCUGGGAUAGAACUCACCAGCGGUGGUGUUACUACUGUUAUGGGGAAGUCGGUCCAUGGUACUUGGCAGCGUGGCGACACCCAAAAAAUUCGGCGAGCAAUCCAUGGUUCCCGCACCCCAGAGCUCCAUCGAACGAUUCUUCAUGGCUUGGCGAACCCCCUUGGUCACUUGUCCAGAUUAGCACGGCGGUGCGGAUGGAUUUCGACUUUGGCGGAUCUCUCACCUCCCUGCUCGCCCAUGGCGAAGGCUCGAGGACUCGACUUAAUCGUCCCUAUGGCGAUGCGAUGGGAGGAAGCAAGGGAGUCACAGUCGCUAUAUACUCAGGAACAGAACCCAGAUUGCCAAUCGAAUCCCAAAAUCGUCGCCCAGGGAUCGGCGAAUCGAGACGAACUGAUUUCGC
Molecule: long non-coding RNA, 1569 nt
Filed under: Zea mays
Lineage: Eukaryota; Viridiplantae; Streptophyta; Magnoliopsida; Poales; Poaceae
Description: long non-coding RNA (ZMAY_LNC003629)
Source: RNAcentral